CAAAAGGAAGGUUGGGAUUGAUUUUGGGAGUUUUGGUCCCAACAGUUUAGGAAUUAGUGGCCAAAAAAAGGUCCCAAAUAAGUAUUUUUCUUGGUUUUUGCACAAUAACUUUAGUAUAAGUAAAUAGAAAUCUAUGAAAUUUUAUCACAAGGUUUAUGGCCACAAAAGGAAGGUUGGGAUUGAUUUUGGGAGUUUUGGUCCCAACAGUUUAGGAAUUAGAAGCCAAAAUGGUUCCAAAUUAAACAUUGUUUGAUUUCAUCAAAAAUUGAACUAUCGGGGUUCUUUAAUAUGCCAAAUCUAACCGUGUAUUUAGAUUCUUAAUUUUUGGUCCCGUUUUCAAAUUGGUCUACAUUAAGGUCCAAAGGGGCUAAAAUUAAACUUAGUUUGAUUUUAACAAAAAUUGAAUUCUUGGGGUUCUUUGAUAUGCUGAAUCUAAACAUGUACUUAGUUUUUAUACAACCCCAAAAAAAUUUUGGGAUCGUAUAAUGGUAUGAUGUCGUCGUCCGAAGACACAUUGGUUUCCGGAUAAUAACUUUAGUUUAAGUGAAUAGAUCUUCAUGAAAUUUUUUCAGAAGGUUCAAUACCACAAAAGGAAGGUUGGGAUUGAUUUUGGGGCUGAUGGUCCCAACCGAUUAGGAAUUAGGGGCCCAAAACAAGCAUUUUUCUAGUUUCAGGAUAAUAACUUGUGUAGAAUUAUUUCAAUUGCUCUGAAAUCAUACCGCAAUGUAUAAAACCACAAGUAGAAGGUUUGGAUUCAUUUCAGGGGUUAUGGGGCCAAAGUUUAGGAAUUAAGGGCCAAAAAGGGGUCAAAACAAGCAUUUUUCUAGUUUCAAGACAAUAACUUGUGUGUAAUUGUAUGGAUCUCUCUGAAAUUGUACCACAAUGUACCAAAUAACAAAGGGGAGGCUGGGAUUAAGUUUUGGGUUAAUUGCCCAAAAUAUGUAGGAAUUCGGGGCCAAAAAAGGGCCAAAAAGAAGCAUGUUUCUUAAGUUUCCAAACAAUCAUGACAAUAACUGGUGUUUAAGUGUAUGGAUCUCUCUGAAAUUGUACUACAAGGUUCAAUACUGCAAUGGAAAGCAUGGGAUUGAGUUCAAGGGUUAUUGCCCCAAGGGGGUUUCAAAAAGUUGGGGG
This 1131-nucleotide long non-coding RNA is filed under the name Mytilus galloprovincialis (Mediterranean mussel). The record is from RNAcentral. Lineage: Eukaryota; Metazoa; Mollusca; Bivalvia; Mytilida; Mytilidae.